CGUGCGUCCUACGUAACUUGUGACGAGCAUUGUAAACAACAGCGAGCGAGUUAGCUUGUAAAAGUUAUGCAGCCUCCACAGUGUUUGACCUGAAGCUCAAUGAUGCUGUGUGAAAUCCUCCUGUCGUCACUAUGGUUCCUGUUUGUGAUCUUCUGGGCCGAGACAAUAAGCGUGUGGCUGUUUUUAUUCAUGUUUUACCAGGACCAGGCCUUUUACCACUGGGGAGAUGGGUUAUUUGCAGACGAUCCCGGGCAGAUGAUUUACAUGUUGAGCAGAGUUGAAAACACGGCAGAGACCGAGCCACAGACCUGAAAUGGAAAUAUGUCAAGAACUUUAAAGAAGACAGUGUUGCUGUCAUGUGACUGAAGAGCCCAUGGAAAAAAAGCCAGUUUCUCUUUGCUGCAAAUGUAUUCUAUCUGUUUUCUGGGGAGCAAAACAAUAUAAAAUGUGCAAAUCUGAUUCUCACGUGAGCUCAGUGCAAUUUGUUUUACUUUUUUCCCCCUUCACUCUAAACUCCAUUUUGCACUUUCGCUGAGAUCAUUUCUGUCUUUUGUCUUCUCUAUGCAAUCACUGUUUACUAGUUGCACUCAUAUUUGCGUUUUCGGGUAAUAAAUUGCAGUCAAUCUGAUGUUUUAAGGCCUUCUAUGAUUUAGCCUACAAACUUGUAAGCUUAUCAAAGCAAAGUAAUGAGAGUUUCUAUUUUGAGUCAAUAUUUGUAGUAUUAUCUUGAGUUUCAACAGAGAAGCAGUGGAAAUGAACAUAUUUUUUAAACCUGAUGGUUCACAAAUUAUAUUUCUCAUUUGUCUUGUUUAUGCAUGUGUACUUUAUUGCAUGUUAAUUUUGUUCUGUUGUCCACGUUCAGUUGAUGAACUGAAAUUUCAUGCUGACGUCAGAUGGGACGUUUCCCUUUGGCUAUAACUCUGUGUAAAACAGAAACACAUCCAUUUUUUUCCCCCUUUAAUCAAAAUGUGUAUCACAUUUUUCCCCCACUGAUGUAUAGCACCAUGUUUUAGUGUCUUUUUGUAACUACGACAAAGAAUACUUUUGUUCUGUAUAUUGAGUUAUUAAAUAAAACUAUAUUCGAGUUUGUUGA
Molecule: long non-coding RNA, 1093 nt
Organism: Xiphophorus maculatus (southern platyfish)
Lineage: Eukaryota; Metazoa; Chordata; Actinopteri; Cyprinodontiformes; Poeciliidae
Exons: 4
Source: RefSeq, a predicted model, not a curated record